UACGUAGGGAGCAAGCGUUAUCCGGAUUUAUUGGGUUUAAAGGGUGCUCAGGCGGGCCAUUAAGUCGGCGGUGAAAUUUUGCGGCUCAACCGUAAAAGUGCCUUCGAUACUGGUGGUCUUGAGUGUGGAUGAGGUAGGCGGAAUUUGUGGUGUAGCGGUGAAAUGCAUAGAUAUCACGAGGAACUCCGAUUGCUAAGGCAGCUUACUAAGCCAUAACUGACGCUCAAGCACGAAGGCGUGGGGAUCAAACAGGAUUAGAUACCCUGGUA
This 269-nucleotide ribosomal RNA is filed under the name uncultured prokaryote. RNAcentral describes it as "partial 16S ribosomal RNA". It matches the Rfam family "Bacterial small subunit ribosomal RNA", at positions 524 to 792 of the family's 1533-position model. The record is from RNAcentral.